UAGUGUUACAGCUCUUUUAGAAUUUGUCUAGUUACAU
This is a small nuclear RNA of Macaca fascicularis (crab-eating macaque), 37 nucleotides long. Its record names the gene U7. It matches the Rfam family "U7 small nuclear RNA". Rfam says of the family: Animal histone pre-mRNAs are spliced by a different mechanism than nuclear pre-mRNAs and self-splicing introns. Lineage: Eukaryota; Metazoa; Chordata; Mammalia; Primates; Cercopithecidae. The record is from Ensembl.